CCUACGGGUGGCAGCAGCAAGGAAUCUUGGGCAAUGGGCGCAAGCCUGACCCAGCGACGCCGCGUGGAGGAUGACGGCCUUCGGGUUGUAAACUCCUUUUCUCCGGGAAGAAGCUCUGACGGUACCGGAGGAAUCAGCCACGGCUAACUACGUGCCAGCAGCCGCGGUAAUACGUAGGUGGCGAGCGUUGUCCGGAUUUACUGGGCGUAAAGCGCGCGCAGGUGGCGCCCUAAGUCCGGUGUGAAAUCUCCCGGCUCACCCGGGAGGGUGCGCUGGAGACUGGGGUGCUGGAGGCAGGCAGAGGCCGGUGGAAUUCCCGGUGUAGUGGUGAAAUGCGUAGAGAUCGGGAGGAACACCCGUGGCGAAAGCGGCCGGCUGGGCCUGUCCUGACGCUGAGGCGCGAAAGCGUGGGGAGCGAACCGGAUUAGAUACCCUAGUAG
Molecule: ribosomal RNA, 440 nt
Filed under: uncultured bacterium
Lineage: Bacteria
Description: bacterial SSU rRNA
Rfam family: Bacterial small subunit ribosomal RNA
Source: RNAcentral